UACAGAGGUCUCAAGCGUUGUUCGGAUUCACUGGGCGUAAAGGGUGCGUAGGUGGUCAGGUAAGUCUGAUGUGAAAUCUCUGAGCUCAACUCAGAAACUGCAUUGGAUACUAUCUGGCUAGAGGAGUGGAGGGGGGACUGGAAUACUUGGUGUAGCAGUGAAAUGCGUAGAUAUCAAGUGGAACACCAGUGGCGAAGGCGAGUCCCUGGACACUUCCUGACACUGAGGCACGAAAGCUAGGGGAGCAAACAGG
RNAcentral lists this ribosomal RNA (253 nucleotides) under uncultured bacterium. RNAcentral describes it as "partial 16S ribosomal RNA". It matches the Rfam family "Bacterial small subunit ribosomal RNA", at positions 524 to 776 of the family's 1533-position model. The record is from RNAcentral.